Molecule: ribosomal RNA, 441 nt
Filed under: uncultured bacterium
Lineage: Bacteria
Description: partial 16S ribosomal RNA
Rfam family: Bacterial small subunit ribosomal RNA
Source: RNAcentral
CUACGGGCGGCAGCAGUGAGGAAUAUUCCGCAAUGGGCGAAAGCCUGACGGAGCAAUCCCUCAUAAAUGAAGAAGCCCUUCGGGGUGUAAAGUUUAGUAAUCAGGGAAGAAAUCUUGACUGUACCUGAUGAAUAGUCACGGCUAACUACGUGCCAGCAGCCGCGGUAAUACGUAGGUGGCAAGCAUUGCUCGGAUUUAUUGGGCGUGAAGCGCGUGUAGGUGUCUUGAUAAGUCUUUUGUUAAAGCUCCCUGCUCAACGGGGAAAUCGCAAAAGAUACUGUCAGGAUUUGAGAUAGGUAGGGGUGAGCGGAACUUGUGGAGUAGGAGUGAAAUCCGUUGAUAUCACAAGGAACACCGAUGGCGAAAGCAGCUCACUGGGCCUAUUCUGACACUAAGACGCGAAAGCGUGGGUAGCGAAUGGGAUUAGAUACCCCCGUAGUC